This 253-nucleotide unclassified non-coding RNA is filed under the name uncultured Caryophanales bacterium. Its description in RNAcentral is "uncultured Bacillales bacterium contains 16S-23S intergenic spacer region". It matches the Rfam family "Bacterial small subunit ribosomal RNA", at positions 524 to 776 of the family's 1533-position model. Lineage: Bacteria; Bacillati; Bacillota; Bacilli; Caryophanales. The record is from RNAcentral.
UACGUAGGUGGCAAGCGUUGUCCGGAAUUAUUGGGCGUAAAGCGCGCGCAGGCGGUCCUUUAAGUCUGAUGUGAAAGCCCCCGGCUCAACCGGGGAGGGCCAUUGGAAACUGGGAGGCUAGAGUGCAGGAGAGGAAGGUAGAAUUCCCGGUGUAGCGGUGAAAUGCGUAGAGAUCGGGAGGAACACCAGUGGCGAAGGCGACUUUCUGGUCUGUAACUGACGCUGAGGCGCGAAAGCGUGGGGAGCAAACAGG